UGGGGAAUAUUGCACAAUGGGCGCAAGCCUGAUGCAGCCAUGCCGCGUGUAUGAAGAAGGCCUUCGGGUUGUAAAGUACUUUCAGCGGGGAGGAAGGGAGUAAAGUUAAUACCUUUGCUCAUUGACGUUACCCGCAGAAGAAGCACCGGCUAACUCCGUGCCAGCAGCCGCGGUAAUACGGAGGGUGCAAGCGUUAUUCGGAAUUACUGGGCGUAAAGCGUACGCAGGCGGUUUGUUAAGUCAGAUGUGAAAUCCCCGGGCUCAACCGGGGAACUGCAUCUGAUACUGGCAAGCUUGAGUCUCGUAGAGGGGCGUAGAAGUCCAGCGGUGGCGGUGAAAUGCGUAAAGUUCUGGAGGAGUACCGGUGGCGAAGGCGGCCCCCUGGACGAAGACUAACGCUCAGGUGCGAAAGCGUGGGGAGCAAACAGG
This 429-nucleotide ribosomal RNA is filed under the name Chloroflexota bacterium. RNAcentral's name for it is "Chloroflexi bacterium partial 16S ribosomal RNA". It matches the Rfam family "Bacterial small subunit ribosomal RNA", at positions 355 to 776 of the family's 1533-position model. Lineage: Bacteria; Bacillati; Chloroflexota. The record is from RNAcentral.